Non-coding RNA from Stegodyphus mimosarum, 73 nucleotides. The record is from Rfam. Lineage: Eukaryota; Metazoa; Arthropoda; Arachnida; Araneae; Eresidae.
GCCUUUGUGGUGUAGUGGUCAGCAAGCUCGACGUGUAACCGAGAGCUCCGUGCUUCGAUUCCCGGCGAAGGCG